AUAUCAAUAAGCGGAGGAAAAGAAACUAACAAGGAUUCCCCUAGUAACGGCGAGUGAAGCGGGAUGAGCUCAAAUUUAAAAUCUGGCUGGUUUACUAGUCCGAGUUGUAGUUUAAAGAAGCGUUUUCGGUGGCAGUCUCGGUAUAAAUCCUUUGGAAUAGGGUAUCAUAGAGGGUGAGAAUCCCGUCUUUGACUGAGAAUAUGCUACUAUGUGAUACGUUUUCAAAGAGUCGAGUUGUUUGGGAAUGCAGCUCAAAAUGGGUGGUAAAUUUCAUCUAAAGCUAAAUAUUGGCGAGAGACCGAUAGCGAACAAGUACCGUGAGGGAAAGAUGAAAAGAACUUUGAAAAGAGAGUUAAACAGUGC
Molecule: ribosomal RNA, 363 nt
Filed under: uncultured fungus
Lineage: Eukaryota; Fungi
Description: eukaryotic LSU rRNA
Rfam family: Eukaryotic large subunit ribosomal RNA
Source: RNAcentral